GAAGCUUGCUUUUUAUCAGGUUAGCGGCGGACGGGUGAGUAACACGUGGGUAACCUGCCCUAUAGACCGGGAUAACUCGCGGAAACGCGUGCUAAUACCGGAUAACACAGCGGAGCGCAUGCUCCGGUGUUGAAAGGUGGUUCUGCUACCGCUAUAGGAUGGGCCCGCGGCGCAUUAGCUGGUUGGUGGGGUAACGGCCUACCAAGGCGACGAUGCGUAGCCGACCUGAGAGGGUGAUCGGCCACACUGGGACUGAGACACGGCCCAGACUCCUACGGGAGGCAGCAGUAGGGAAUCUUCCACAAUGGGCGAAAGCCUGAUGGAGCAACGCCGCGUGAGCGAAGAAGGUCUUCGGAUCGUAAAGCUCUGUUGUAAGGGAAGAACAAGUGCGGUAGUAACUGACCGCACCCUGACGGUACCUUACGAGAAAGCCACGGCUAACUACGUGCCAGCAGCCGCGGUAAUACGUAGGUGGCGAGCGUUGUCCGGAAUUAUUGGGCGUAAAGCGCGCGCAGGCGGUCUCUUAAGUCUGAUGUGAAAGCCCCCGGCUCAACCGGGGAGGGUCAUUGGAAACUGGGAGACUUGAGUGCAGGAGAGGGAA
RNAcentral lists this ribosomal RNA (601 nucleotides) under Ureibacillus sp. RNAcentral describes it as "bacterial SSU rRNA". It matches the Rfam family "Bacterial small subunit ribosomal RNA", at positions 75 to 660 of the family's 1533-position model. Lineage: Bacteria; Bacillati; Bacillota; Bacilli; Caryophanales; Caryophanaceae. The record is from RNAcentral.